AAGAAGCAAGGAGUACAAUUGUUCUAUUCCUUGUUUCCUGUUUUUUUUUUUGAGACACUUGGUCUUGCUUUCUGACAC
This 78-nucleotide non-coding RNA is filed under the name uncultured Nitzschia. Lineage: Eukaryota; Bacillariophyta; Bacillariophyceae; Bacillariales; Bacillariaceae. The record is from RNAcentral.